GCCUGGGUGGCGGAAUUUGGUAGACGCAAGGGACUUAAAAUCCCUCGGUCCUAAGUGGCUGUACGAGUUCAAGUCUCGUCCCGGGCACCA
Molecule: transfer RNA, 90 nt
Filed under: Candidatus Desulfatibia vada
Lineage: Bacteria; Pseudomonadati; Thermodesulfobacteriota; Desulfobacteria; Desulfobacterales
Description: tRNA-Leu
Rfam family: tRNA
About the family: Transfer RNA (tRNA) molecules are approximately 80 nucleotides in length. Their secondary structure includes four short double-helical elements and three loops (D, anti-codon, and T loops).
Source: RNAcentral